GUACUCGAGCGGCGAACGGGUGAGUAACACGUGAGCAACCUGCCCUAGGCUUUGGGAUAACCCUCGGAAACGGGGGCUAAUACCGAAUAGGACCACCGGUCGCAUGGUUGGUGGUGGAAAGUUUUUCGGCCUGGGAUGGGCUCGCGGCCUAUCAGCUUGUUGGUGGGGUGAUGGCCUACCAAGGCGACGACGGGUAGCCGGCCUGAGAGGGCGACCGGCCACACUGGGACUGAGACACGGCCCAGACUCCUACGGGAGGCAGCAGUGGGGAAUAUUGCACAAUGGGCGGAAGCCUGAUGCAGCGACGCCGCGUGAGGGAUGACGGCCUUCGGGUUGUAAACCUCUUUCAGCAGGGACGAAGCGUAAGUGACGGUACCUGCAGAAGAAGCACCGGCCAACUACGUGCCAGCAGCCGCGGUAAGACGUAGGGUGCGAGCGUUGUCCGGAUUUAUUGGGCGUAAAGAGCUCGUAGGCGGCUUGUCGCGUCGACUGUGAAAACCCGCAGCUCAACUGCGGGCCUGCAGUCGAUACGGGCAGGCUAGAGUUCGGUAGGGGAGACUGGAAUUCCUGGUGUAGCGGUGAAAUGCGCAGAUAUCAGGAGGAACACCGGUGGCGAAGGCGGGUCUCUGGGCCGAUACUGACGCUGAGGAGCGAAAGCGUGGGGAGCGAACAGGAUUAGAUACCCUGGUAGUCCACGCUGUAAACGUUGGGCGCUAGGUGUG
Molecule: ribosomal RNA, 722 nt
Filed under: Micromonospora sp.
Lineage: Bacteria; Bacillati; Actinomycetota; Actinomycetes; Micromonosporales; Micromonosporaceae
Description: bacterial SSU rRNA
Rfam family: Bacterial small subunit ribosomal RNA
Source: RNAcentral